UACGGAGGGUGCAAGCGUUAAUCGGAAUUACUGGGCGUAAAGCGCGCGUAGGCGGUUAAUUAAGUCAGAUGUGAAAGCCCCGGGCUCAACCUGGGAACUGCAUUUGAAACUGGUUAACUAGAGUAUGGUAGAGGAGAGUGGAAUUUCAGGUGUAGCGGUGAAAUGCGUAGAGAUCUGAAGGAACACCAGUGGCGAAGGCGACUCUCUGGACCAAUACUGACGCUGAGGUGCGAAAGCGUGGGUAGCAAACGGG
RNAcentral lists this ribosomal RNA (253 nucleotides) under uncultured bacterium. Its description in RNAcentral is "partial 16S ribosomal RNA". It matches the Rfam family "Bacterial small subunit ribosomal RNA", at positions 524 to 776 of the family's 1533-position model. The record is from RNAcentral.